UACGUAGGUGGCAAGCGUUGUCCGGAAUUACUGGGUGUAAAGGGCGUGUAGGCGGGACUUUAAGUCAGAUGUGAAAUCUCCGGGCUUAACUCGGAAGUUGCAUUUGAAACUGAGGUUCUUGAGUGAUGGAGAGGAAAGCGGAAUUCCUAGUGUAGCGGUGAAAUGCGUAGAUAUUAGGAGGAACACCAGUGGCGAAGGCGGCUUUCUGGACAUUAACUGACGCUGAGGCGCGAAAGCGUGGGGAGCAAACAGGAUUAGAUACCCUGGUAGUCCACGCUGUAAACGAUGAUUACUAGGUGUGGGAGGUAUCGACCCCUUCCGUGCCGCAGUUAACACAAUAAGUAAUCCACCUGGGGAGUACGGCCGCAAGGUUGAA
RNAcentral lists this ribosomal RNA (376 nucleotides) under uncultured bacterium. RNAcentral describes it as "bacterial SSU rRNA". It matches the Rfam family "Bacterial small subunit ribosomal RNA", at positions 524 to 898 of the family's 1533-position model. The record is from RNAcentral.